Molecule: long non-coding RNA, 501 nt
Filed under: Phasianus colchicus (ring-necked pheasant)
Lineage: Eukaryota; Metazoa; Chordata; Aves; Galliformes; Phasianidae
Description: lncRNA (ENSPCLG00000003953.1)
Source: RNAcentral
GCACUUAAAUCGUGAAUCAUUUGAACGCCAUCUUCAAGCUUCUCUUUUUAGGGAUAUUCAGCUAUAGAAAAUGAAUCAGAAGAGCUGGGAAGGAUAGAAGAGAAAAAUGAAGUGAAUUUUAAGAAUAUUACCUGACACACCAACUGAGGAAAUGCUGAAGAAGUCUGCUUUAAGUAAUCACUCACAUGAGUGCCUGUUUACCAUUCCAGUCCAACAGUGAGCAACUUCGACCGUUUACUCCUCUUGGACCAGUGCAUCCAGCACCUGCAACACGUCACUCGCUGGUUUGCAGGUUGAAUCAGCACACAGAUGGAAGCAGACAGCUCCCUGCUCCUCAGUUUCAUGGAAGCAGACCCCAGUCACUGUCUUGGCAUGGCACCACUGCUGGACAAUCUGUUGAUGAGAGCUGUGAACCAUCUUGGGAGUAAAGACGUCGGAUAGAAAACUGUCCACACAUUUCUUAGCCUCUCAAAAAGUUUAGGUUUUGUGUGAAUGUUGAUG